AUGACCCUGCCGCCGCAGCACCCCACCCCACCAUUACCUGCCGCCGCCCACCACCACCUACCGGAUCUGGCCCGCAACCACGGUAUCGAUCCCGACCACCAUGGCUCCCCACCACACCACCACCUCCACCUCCCGUCCCGCACACCCAAAAAUCCGGCCACUAUCGCCCCGCCUCCUCCUCCUGCUGCCCGGCGCGGCCCUCCUCCCACCUGGUGCCACCCCGCCUCCUCCUCCCGCCCGGCAAGGCCCCGCCUCAUCCUCCUCCCGCCUGGCGCGGCCCUCCUUCCACCUGGCGCCGCACCGCCUCCUCCUCCCGGCCGGCGCACCUCCAUCCUGCAAUGCCGCCUAGGCGAUGGCCCCAGCCCCGCUCCACUCCAGCCACGGUAG
This 387-nucleotide ribosomal RNA is filed under the name Triticum aestivum (bread wheat). RNAcentral describes it as "partial small subunit ribosomal RNA". Lineage: Eukaryota; Viridiplantae; Streptophyta; Magnoliopsida; Poales; Poaceae. The record is from RNAcentral.